CGCGUGGGAACGUGCCUUCUGGUCUGGAAUAACCCUGGGAAACUAGGGCUAAUACCGGAUACGCCCUUUUGGGGAAAGGUUUACUGCCGGAAGAUCGGCCCGCGUCUGAUUAGCUAGUUGGUGGGGUAACGGCCUACCAAGGCGACGAUCAGUAGCUGGUCUGAGAGGAUGAUCAGCCACACUGGGACUGAGACACGGCCCAGACUCCUACGGGAGGCAGCAGUGGGGAAUAUUGGACAAUGGGCGCAAGCCUGAUCCAGCCAUGCCGCGUGAGUGAGGAAGGCCUUAGGGUUGUAAAGCUCUUUUAUCCGGGACGAUAAUGACGGUACCGGAGGAAUAAGCCCCGGCUAACUUCGUGCCAGCAGCCGCGGUAAUACGAAGGGGGCUAGCGUUGCUCGGAAUCACUGGGCGUAAAGGGCGCGUAGGCGGCGUUUUAAGUCGGGGGUGAAAGCCUGUGGCUCAACCACAGAAUGGCCUUCGAUACUGGGA
Molecule: ribosomal RNA, 489 nt
Filed under: uncultured bacterium
Lineage: Bacteria
Description: bacterial SSU rRNA
Rfam family: Bacterial small subunit ribosomal RNA
Source: RNAcentral